Molecule: long non-coding RNA, 1043 nt
Organism: Felis catus (domestic cat)
Lineage: Eukaryota; Metazoa; Chordata; Mammalia; Carnivora; Felidae
Exons: 2
Source: RefSeq, a predicted model, not a curated record
GGGCUGUAAUCUGAGACCCUUUCUGGGGCCGCGCCCUCCCGACCCCUUCCCGGAAAUUUGCUUCCAGUGGGCAGGCACUCACAGGGACAGGCCACACGAUUUAUCCUGGUGAAGCAACCACACGUGAUGGCAAGUGGCCCCCAUACUGGACAGGGCAGCUCUAGAACCUUGGAGAAGGGACCAUGGUGACCGUGAGUCAGUGCUCUUUCUGCAGAAGGGGAAUCUGAGACCCCGAGAGACCCUGGGUGAGUGUUGACGUAAAUUUUCUAAGAAACAAGCCAACAUGAUGGGGAAAGACCGGGAAGUGAUGUCAGAAUCUGCCAGGAGGUGGGCUCUUUGGAGAAAGUCUUGAACAGAGACUUGGGCGGGUCCGCGCUGCCAGCGGCACAGGCAGCCGUGCGUGUGGGAAGCGUCUCCUCUUGCGGGCGGUCCGGGCCCUGAAGAGCUGAGGUUGGGUCGGCAGGGCAAGCCCGGGCAGCGGUCAGCAGGGGCCUGGUGCAUGGCUGCGACCAUCUAGGAGCCGGGAGGGUUGCAGCACGCAGGGCUGAGCCAUCCUGUGCCCAGUUUUGUUUUUUAAAUACAUGCAAUUAGAAAAACUGAGGCAUCACCUGGUGUUUAAGACCAAACAGCUUUGGAGGCCAGGCCGGCCACCGAGUGCCCCCACCCUGGGCAGCGCCCUCAUACCCACCGGCCCGCCCUUCUCAUGAGGGCCGAGACCUCCCGGAGAGGAAGGAGGAGACUGAUGUGGCGGGAACACCACAGGUGGGACCAUGACCGUCUAACUAGAACACCGCGUGGCGGCAUCCCGGAGCGGCGCGGGCGUCACACACGGCGGUUAUCACUCAGUGCCUUUUUAUUGCCAUUGGGUUUGUGACUGUUGAGAGUGACGGCUCGAGGAGCAACGGGCAGAUAAAAACCGUGGCUGGGAAGUUCUUGUGAAGAGAGGGCCCGGGCGAGGAGCCGGGAGGACUCAGAACCGGACGAAGGUGGCGUCGAUCUGCCGCACGGUGGGCAGGGCCAGCAUGAUCUUCCGCCUGUACUGG